GCCGAAAUAGUUUAGUCGGUUAAAACAUACCACUCAUAACGGUAUAACAAAGGUUCAAGUCCUUUUUUCGGCA
This is a transfer RNA of 73 nucleotides. It matches the Rfam family "tRNA". Rfam says of the family: Transfer RNA (tRNA) molecules are approximately 80 nucleotides in length. Their secondary structure includes four short double-helical elements and three loops (D, anti-codon, and T loops).